Molecule: ribosomal RNA, 1515 nt
Filed under: uncultured Bordetella sp.
Lineage: Bacteria; Pseudomonadati; Pseudomonadota; Betaproteobacteria; Burkholderiales; Alcaligenaceae
Description: partial 16S-23S ribosomal RNA intergenic spacer
Rfam family: Bacterial small subunit ribosomal RNA
Source: RNAcentral
AGUGACUGCUUUAGUUCGAUUUAAGUAUUACUUGGGGGCAUCGGGUAUGCUGAAAAGUUCAAAUGCAAGCAAUUGGCAUGACGGGAUGCUUUACACAUGCAAGUCGAACGGCAGCACGGACUUCGGUCUGGUGGCGAGUGGCGAACAGGUGAGUAAUGUAUCGGAACGUGCCUAGUAGCGGGGGAUAACUACGCGAAAGCGUAGCUAAUACAUACACCCUUCGGGGGAAAAGCGGGGGACCUUCGGGCCUCGCACUAUUAGAGCGGCCGAUAUCGGAUUAGCUAGUUGGUGGGGUAACGGCUCACCAAGGCGACGAUCCGUAGCUGGUUUGAAGGACGACCAGCCACACUGGGACUGAGACACGGCCCAGACUCCUACGGGAGGCAGCAGUGGGGAAUUUUGGACAAUGGGGAAACCCUGAUCCAGCCAUCCCGCGUGUGCGAUGAAGGCCUUCGGGUUGUAAAGCACUUUUGGCAGAAGAAACGGCCCGGGAUAAUACCCCGUGCAACUGACGGUACCUGCAGAAUAAGCACCGGCUAACUACGUGCCAGCAGCCGCGGUAAUACGUAGGGUGCAAGCGUUAAUCGGAAUUACUGGGCGUAAAGCGUGCGCAGGCGGUUCGGAAAGAAAGAUGUGAAAUCCCAGAGCUUAACUUUGGAACUGCAUUUUUAACUACCGAGCUAGAGUGUCAGAGGGAGGUGGAAUUCCGCGUGUAGCAGUGAAAUGCGUAGAUAUGCGGAGGAACACCGAUAGCGAAGGCAGCCUCCUGGGAUAACACUGACGCUCAUGCGAAAGCGUGGGAGCAAACGGGGAUUAGAAUGCCCUGAUCCCGCCUAAACGAUGUCAACUAGCUGGGGCCUUCGGGCCUUGGUAGCGCAACUAACGCGUGAAGUUGACCGCCUGGGGAGUACGGUCGCAAGAUUAAAACUCGAAGGAAUUGACGGGGACCCGCAAGCGGUGGAUGAUGUGGAUUAGUUGAUGCAACGCGAAAAACCUUACCUACCGCCCUUGACAUGUCUGGAAUCCCGAAGAGAUUUGGGAGUGCUCGCAAGAGAACCGGAACACAGGUGCUGCAUGGCUGUCGUCAGCUCGUGUCGUGAGAUGUUGGGUUAAGUCCCGCAACGAGCGCAACCCUUGUCAUUAGUUGCUACGAAAGGGCACUCUAAUGAGACUGCCGGUGACAAACCGGAGGAAGGUGGGGAUGACGUCAAGUCCUCAUGGCCCUUAUGGUGGGGCUUCACGUCAUACAAUGGUCGGGACAGAGGGUCGCCAACCCGCGAGGAGGCCAAUCCCGAAACCCCGAUCGUAGUCCGGAUCGCAGUCUGCAACUCGACUGCGUGAAGUCGGAAUCGCUAGUAAUCGCGGAUCAGCAUGUCGCGGUGAAUACGUUCCCGGGUCUUGUACACACCGCCCGUCACACCAUGGGAGUGGGUUUUACCAAGUAGUUAGCCUAACCGUAAGGAGGGCGAUUACCACGGUAGGAUUCAUGACUGGGGUGAAGUCGUAACAAGGUAG